RNAcentral lists this long non-coding RNA (452 nucleotides) under Homo sapiens (human). Its description in RNAcentral is "HSALNT0174190". Lineage: Eukaryota; Metazoa; Chordata; Mammalia; Primates; Hominidae. The record is from RNAcentral.
GACAGUCCUGAAUCAUAUAGUAUCCCUGUGCCCAGGAAAGCAGGAUUUGCUUCCAGAAGAAACAAAAUGAAAGGAAAACAUUCCAGGGAGCCAAAAAUAAGCCCAUAAUCCAUCUCAAUGUAUCACUGCACAGUGAGAAGAAAAUUCCACACCAACCCUCCCGUUGACUUCCUGUGAAUGGACGUAAGAGCAGAGGGGAGGUAAACACAGCACCUUUUAAGCCCUCAGAAGAAAUCAGUACGUGUCUGCAAGAUAUUGAGAAACAUCUCAUUUAAUCAUGCUUUGGGCUGGGAACUGGAGUGAUUUGCUUUCCUAUAAAAAUGGAUUUAUUAAGAUACGAGGGAAGGUGGCAAACUUUGCAAGGUGUGUAAAGGGCAAAUGCCAAGCCUUUGUGAGGAUGUAAGUGUGGGCAAAGAAUGUGGGGCUUGGAUCUUGAGAGCAAUAGAAAGCUA